Long non-coding RNA from Oncorhynchus tshawytscha (Chinook salmon), 1124 nucleotides. NCBI's taxonomy places the organism in Eukaryota, Metazoa, Chordata, Actinopteri, Salmoniformes, Salmonidae. The record is from Ensembl.
GAGGAUGAAACCAUGAGAAUGGAACCUAGAGAAUGGAACCAUGAGGAUGGAACCAUGAUAAUGGAACCAUGAGGGUGGAACCAUGGGAAUGGAACCAUGAUAAUGGAACCAUGAGGGUGGAACCAUGGGAAUGGAACCAUGAGAAUGGAACCAUGAGGAUGGAACCAUGAGAAUGGAACAAUGGGAAUGGAACCAUGAGAAUGGAACCAUGGGAAUGGAACCAUGAGAAUGGAACCAUGAGGGUGGAACCAUGAGAAUGGAACCAUGAGGGUGGAACCAUGAGGAUGGAACCAUGAGGGUGGAACCAUGAGAAUGGAACCAUGAGGGUGGAACAAUGGGAAUGGAACCAUGAGGAUGGAACCAUGAGAAUGGAACAAUGGGAAUGGAACCAUGAGAAUGGAACCAUGAGGAUGGAACCAUGAGGGUGGAACCAUGUUGAUGGAACCAUGAGGGUGGAACCAUGAGGGUGGAACCAUGAGGAUGGAACCAUGAUGAUGGAACCAUGAGGGUGGAACCAUGAGGGUGGAACCAUGAUGAUGGAACCAUGAGGGUGGUACCAUGAGGGUGGAACCAUGAUGAUGGAUCCAUGAGGAUGGAACCAUGAGGGUGGAACCAUGAGGAUGGAACCAUGAGGGUGGAACCAUGAUGAUGGAACCAUGAGGGUGGUACCAUGAGGGUGGAACCAUGAUGAUGGAUCCAUGAGGAUGGAACCAUGAGGGUGGAACCAUGAGGGUGGUACCAAGGGAAUGGAACCAUGAUGAUGGAUCCAUGAGGAUGGAACAAUGGGGAUGGAUCCAUGAGGCAGCCUGAGGUUAGAUCUUCAACACUACUGACCAAACACCAUCACUCUGGCCCUAGCAUGUGUGUGUUAACGUGUUUUAACGUGUGUGUGUGUGUGUGUGUGUGUGUGUGUGUGUGUGUGGUAUCGUGGUGUGAAAAAUAAUUGUUACUUUUUUUGCAAUUUAAAAACGAUUAAAAGUUGCCGGGGACAACAUUUCCCUGGACCCUAGGCUACUGAAAAUGUUCCCAGACCCUAGGCUACUGAAAAGGCUACUGAAAAUGUUCCCAGACCCUCGGCUACUGAAAAUGUUCCCCUGACCCUAGGCUACUGAAAAUGUUCCCCG